This is a long non-coding RNA of Mesocricetus auratus (golden hamster), 4051 nucleotides long. RefSeq lists it as uncharacterized. Lineage: Eukaryota; Metazoa; Chordata; Mammalia; Rodentia; Cricetidae. The record is from RefSeq and is a predicted model, not a curated record. The transcript is spliced from 3 exons.
UGCGUCCUAACAUAACUUCUCUUUCACUCAAAUGCAGCUAGCAUGAGGCCUAAUCAUGAAGACCCUCCUCAUCAAGGAAAAAAGUGGUUUGUGUCAUAGGCAGAGAUGGUACAGGGCAUGAACACUAACCUGAUAUAUUAAGUACUGCUUUAUUUCAUAUCCUGGACUAGUGUAUACAGGGGAAGAAAUAUAAUCUAUGCAUGAAUUCUUCCUGAGAUUUGGGCCUCAUGCAAACGACCAGCAAAGCUGCAGGAGGAGCACUUCUUCAUCUUCCCAUGGAGUAUCAAGGAGGCUUCCUCCAGAAACUGAUGAAAGCAGAUGCAAAGAACAACAGCCAAACAUAAGGAGGAGCUCCAGGAACCUGAGAAAGAGGGGGAGGAAGGACUGUGGGAAACUGAGAGGUCAAGGACACCAGAAGCAGGACUCAAAGGGGCUCAAAGAGAACUGAAGUGACAAUCACAGAGCCUGUACAGGUCUGACCUAGGCCCUAUACAUAUACGUCAUGGUUGUGUGGUUUGGUAUCAUGGGAGUCUUUUAACAGUGGGAGUUGGGGAUGUCUCUGGCUCUUUUGCCCCUCUUGGGACUCUUUUCCUCCUACUGGGUUGUUUCAUCCAGCCUUGAUGUGAAGGUUUGUCCCUAAUUAUACUUUAACUUUUUAUGCAGUGGUCGAUUGAUAUCCCUAGGAAUUCUGCUAUUUUCUGAAAGGAAACAGAGGAGGGGUGGAUCUAGGGGAAAAGGGAGGUAAGCUCUUUGAAGGGGAGUACAUAUAGAAUGUAAUAUGUGAGAGAGGAUUAAAUAAAAGAAAGACAAAAUAAGCAGCUCUCUUUUGCUUUUAUAGCCAAUUACAUUUGAGGCUGAUGAGUCUCGGAGACUUUAUAUUUGGAUUUAAGAGGAGCACUAGAGUACUCAUUAUUUAGUGACCCUGUGGAUGGACUGAAUACAUUUUGCAUAAAGAGAAGGAUAGAACAAAUUCUUUUCUACAAAUUCUACAAAUUCUACAGUUUGGCCUUCGAAUGUCUACCCAAAGUCCACACAUCACAGGUUUGGUCUCUAUCUUAGGGAGCUGAGACGUGAGGUAAUGAGAAAAAUGAAGCAGUAACCUGUAAGAGAUCUCAAAGUCAUGGCCUUGGAAUAAAAGAGGCUGGUCCUUCCUCUUCCUCAGUCUGUUUUUCCUGGCUGUAGAAGUUCUCUUCUGCCAUGACUUCUUGCUAUGAGGUACUGCCUUACAAAAGGCUCAAAGCAAUGGAACAGCUCGUCAUGGCCUGAAAUGUGAGCCCAAAUAGACAUUUCUCCUUAUAAGGUGAUUAUCUUAGGUGAGAAAAGUAGGUCAGUGCUUAAGGGCACUUGCUGCUCUUGCACAUGGCAUUUGUUUAGUUCCUAGCAUUCACAUCAGGGGCUCAUACUCUCCUGUACCUGCCGUUCCAGAGGAUGCUACAGUCUCAUCUGGUCUCCACAGGCCCUGCACAAAUGCUCAUAAAGACACACACAAACACACACACACACAUACACACACAAUUCAAAAGAAGUGAUUAUGUCCAUAACCAAUAUAAUCACAGAAAAUGACCAAAUUUCUCAAGCAUUUCAGGUUUUGGAUUUGUAUAAAAUGCAAAGAUAUCUGCUAGGCCAAAAAGUGAAUAGGUAACACCUAGAAGUAGCUGGAGAAUAGUUUUUGAAGAAUUGUCCAUGAAGGCCUAGAGAAAAUGAAAUCUGAGUAAAGAGGAGCUUGAGUUACUAGAAACAAUGAGAUAUACAAGAAAAGAGCAACACAUGGUGUUCAGGGAGCACCAGAUUAGUAUGGUGGAGAAGGGAGACUGUCUCAGUGGGAUCAUUUGAGAGGUAACAGGAAUUGGGUCAACUGAGACUGUCAGGCUGUUAUUUUGCAGGAUGAGGGGAGCUAGUAUCGAGCAGUGAGGUGCUCCCAUUACUGCUAGAUUGAUAAUCCCUUGAAAGGGACUUGGGCUCCUUCAGAAGAUUAGGAAGACAGCCAUAGCAGCUGCUGCAGGGGUUCAGUUAAGAAAUAGGUCGACUUUGGGCAGGUGGUAGAGCACCAGUGAGAAAUGUACUGAGAGUAUGGAUAUCUACUCAGUGUGUAAGCAAAAGCUUUGCUAUGGAUAGUCAACUUUCUGGGAGCAGGCAUGGACCUGGAGGCCUCUGAGUUGAGAAAGUGAAUAGGAGAUGCUUCAGAGUUACAGAGACUUAAAGUUUGAAAUGUUUGAAUUCCCAAAUGGAUUGGGCAUGUGUAGCACAUAUAUGGAGGAGAGAUGCCAAUUAAGUUUACACAGUGAAGUCACAGGCAAUGUGUGCAGUCCUGGGGAUAAUGGGGUCACCUUGCUUAUCUUUCUGCAGACAUAGUGUUUGAACAGCAAGUGCAGUGACUGGGAGGAAGCAAGUUCACCUGGAGGACAGAGGGUUUAUCAACCCAGAAUGUCCUGGGGCAGCUUCCUAUUGGGGAAAUUUAUGGGACUUCUAACCAGGUCCCAAAGAAUUUAAAAGAAAGAGGAACAAGAAAAGAAAGACACUCUUUAGGGGGUUUUUACUAAUUAAAAAAUAAAAGGAGGGAUAAAUUAUUUACUAGAUGACUGGAUAACCACAGGCUCCCUGAAGAGUGACUCACAAGGAUGUUGGAAGGCACACCUUCUUGAUAACCGGGUGAAUGAUGGCAGGCAUGAACCCUCUGAUGAUUCAUCCACUUACACUAAUCUUGGGUGGGAACCCUGGAGCUGCCCUGAUGACAGACUCAGUUCUAAGGCAACUUCAAUAAAAUUAAGCAGGUGCCUUUUAUUUGUUGAAAACUGUCCCAUACUUGAAAUAAUCACACACAGCUCAAUAAAAAGCAUGCAUAGAUCAGGUGAUGAGUGAAUUCAAGAAAGUGCUGGAAUGUGUAGACAGGAAUGCUAAAGCUUAGGGAAAAUCAGAGUGCACUGAUUUGCAAUUUUGAACUUGACUUAGUAAUCUUGAGAAAAGAGAUCUCAAUUGCUUCAAACUUUCAACUCGCUGGAAAUAUGGACUGCAGUGUAGGUAUGCCCAAUGCCAAUAAAAUGCUUUUAAGUAGGAUUAUUUUUGUAAACAACUGUGUACAUGAAGCAAAUUGUAUCAUUUCUCUAGUUGUAGUUGAAUGAACUCAAUUUCCCAAUCAUGUCCUGAGGGACCACCUUUAAGGAAUAGGCUAAGUGGCACAGCACCCAGCUUGACUGACUGACUUCCACCCACAGCAUGGGGUCUCAAUAAAACUCACCUAGUAGAGCUCAUUCCAUAUGGAGAGAUACCUUGCCCAGCCUAGACACAAGGGCAUGGGGGUGGGGAGGUAUCAUGACCCUGCCUCAACUAGACGAAGGGACAGACAGAGUAGACUUCCUAGAGGAGGCCUUAUGGUCUCUGUGGAACAGAUGGGAGUUGGGGGAAAGUGGGAGGAGUGGGAAGAAAGGAGAGAGGGGGAACAGGGAUUGGAAUGUAAAAAAUAGAUUAAUAAUAAUAAUAAUAAUAAAGAACCAUCUAGCGGCAUGUAAUGAAGACUUCAUGCAGGAAGUAGUGUUGGGAUUAAAUCAAGCUUGAGGAAUGAAACCACAUUGGGAGGUAUUAGAAGUUUGCCGAACUUUAGUCAUAUUAAUUAUAGUGCUUUGAUGACUUAACUGUAGUAAUCUAUGAAUGCUUUGAUUAUCGGAUGUUUGUAAUUAAUGUUAUGCUCUAUUCUUUUACAUUGACUACAGCAGUUCUUGUUUUAUUAAAAUAUAAUUAAUAAAAUUGUAUCCUCUAAUGUAUUUUAGUGUGUCAACAAGGCAGAGUCAGUGUAAUGUGGUUUUAGAACAAGUUUUCCUAUUGAAAAGAAGGCUCAUACCUGUUAUGUAAGUACUCCAAUAAAACACACACACACCACACACACACACACACACACCCACCACUAACUGCCUAUUUGAAUGAUAACUUCAUAAUAACUUAGAAAGAUGUCAAGUUAUUUUACAAAAUGGCUGCCUUUGUUUUGCCACCAGAAGUGUGUGGGUGUGGGGGGUGGUUGGGCUUCUGUUGUCAAUUUUUUAUCUGUACUUGCAGUCUU